GAUUUUUCUUGCGUCUCCCGGAAGCUGUGCUGUUAGACACAAUUACCUCAGCUAGGUCACUGAGACCAAAUCAUACGGGACGCUUAAUGAAGGACCGCAUUCAAAAGGGAUUACGCCUUGAAGUGUCCUGGCGGGCGACAUUUUUACAGAUUUUAAGGGGCAAAUUUAGAACAGCUAAAAAAAAGGUUUCAAAGCCGUGACUACUAAAAGAGCAUCUAGGCCUCCCAUUUUAUCAGGAGGAAUUCAACUUAGAAAAUGCAGCAUUAUUGUGUCAAAUUAGCACUGAUGAUUUACCCAUAGCAGUAUGAACUUCUUGGAGGAAGGAAAGAAAAGUACAACAGCUUCUUCAGAGAAAAGAACAAAUUGGCAUAGGAAAGAAGAAAGACACUUCGUUUAAAGAAUGUAUUUUGCAGUAAAUGCCCACAAACAGCCCAUAGAGAGUUCACUUAUUUAUGCAUCACCAUAUGAUUAUUCUGACUGCCUUUAGUCUCAAACAGGGAAAGCCUCCGCAAAAAGCAUUCUCCAGGUGUUAGUUUAGGUUUGUCAUUAUUUCCUAUUUAUAGACUCUGUCUAGUAAAAGAAGACAAAUUACUGUAAGUGGGGGUAAAUGUGAUUAAACGAGUCCUCUGAAGAUAAGAAGUUACAUGGACAAGGGUCAUUAACACAAAUGACCUCUUUUUGCCAGAACAUAUUUUUUUAAUUUAGUGGAUUUGAAAAAAACUGCAAAGCAAGAAUAAUCUCUACUGCACAUACUCACAGAGAAACAUAUCCCUUUUAUUCUAAUAAAUAUUUUCAUGACUCUUCAGUAUUUUAAUAACAUACUGAUAAUGCCAAAAUACUCUCAGAAUACACCAAGAACAAUAUUGGAGGGAUCAUUUAUCUUAAGGAGUCUAAUCGGAAACACUUAAGCAACAUAGUUAUAAUCAGACAAGACAUAUAACACCAAGAAUGUAAGUUAGUGGAAACAAGAUCAUGGGAAUCAAAUGGAAAGCUGAAAUUUGUAAAGUUUCAAUUAAAACAUCUACACUCUUUCUUUCACCUGAUCGUAGCCCCAUAUGGCAAGGUCAGCCCUUUCAGUGAACAAACAGCUCAGUCGCCUCCAGUGUAGCUGUUAUCUUCCUCAACAAGGGGAGACAUUUGGCACAGCCUAAAGCUGGGGCAUGAACCCUGGCUAAGCUUAAGACAUUUAUCUGACAGCAUCAGCUGACACUCCACAAACACAUUUGCUCUCCAUGACCUCAGAGCAUUCGUGAUUAAUCAAAAAUGUAUCUUGGAUCUUGAGAACAAGCUACAACCAGGCACACACAAAAAAGAAUAUGCUCUCGAUCUCACUUAUCGACUCAAGAGGUAUAUUGAAUUUAGAAAUAGCAAAUAGAAUAAAAUGAUCAAUAUGUUCUCACUUGUCCAUGGAAGAGCAAACUUUAUCCCUCAAGCCAAAGACAUUGAUCAUGUAAAUGUUUCAGAACUGCUUUCAGACUCAAUAAUGCAAAAUGCACAUGGUUUAUUGGGGGUAGAGAAGGAGGCCUGCCAAAGAGGAGCUUUUGCUUUAACUUAAAAAAAUAUAUAGCUUGAAGACAUAAAGCAUUAUGCUUGUAGUGUGCUAUAUUUUUUUACAAACUGUGUGUUCAGCCUAAAACCUUUUUUGGUAACAUGUUGCUGAAUGUUCUCAAUAAAGCAUUAUAAAGGAGACUUUAAAACUUAAUGAAGGAACAUUAUUUGUGCAGAGAAAACUCCCUGUCUUAAUUUAAAUGAGACACAGUUAUAACAUAUCCCCUAUGCACUGUUUACAAUUUAUAAUUUAUAAUUUAUGUCUCUUGGUUCAAACUCACUAUUUUCUAAGUAAUGAUUAACAUGUGAAUACUGUAAUAUUCUGCUUCUCAACCAGUACAGUUUAGUAUAUUUUCAUUUUCAUUUGUACUUUUCACUU
Long non-coding RNA from Homo sapiens (human), 1927 nucleotides. NCBI's taxonomy places the organism in Eukaryota, Metazoa, Chordata, Mammalia, Primates, Hominidae. The record is from Ensembl.